GAUGAACGCUGGCGGCGUGCUUAACACAUGCAAGUCGAACGGAAAGGCUCCUGCUUGCAGGGGUACUCGAGUGGCGAACGGGUGAGUAACACGUGGGUGAUCUGCCCUGCACUUCGGGAUAAGCCUGGGAAACUGGGUCUAAUACCGGAUAGGACGAUGGUUUGGAUGCCAUUGUGGAAAGUUUUUCGGCGUGGGAUGAGCUCGCGGCCUAUCAGCUUGUUGGUGGGGUAAUGGCCUACCAAGGCGUCGACGGGUAGCCGGCCUGAGAGGGUGUACGGCCACAUUGGGACUGAGAUACGGCCCAGACUCCUACGGGAGGCAGCAGUGGGGAAUAUUGCACAAUGGGCGCAAGCCUGAUGCAGCGACGCCGCGUGGGGGAUGACGGCCUUCGGGUUGUAAACUCCUUUCGCUAGGGACGAAGCGCAAGUGACGGUACCUGGAGAAGAAGCACCGGCUAACUACGUG
This 465-nucleotide ribosomal RNA is filed under the name uncultured bacterium. RNAcentral's name for it is "partial 16S ribosomal RNA". It matches the Rfam family "Bacterial small subunit ribosomal RNA", at positions 28 to 507 of the family's 1533-position model. The record is from RNAcentral.